This 465-nucleotide ribosomal RNA is filed under the name Vreelandella stevensii. RNAcentral's name for it is "partial 16S ribosomal RNA". It matches the Rfam family "Bacterial small subunit ribosomal RNA", at positions 338 to 795 of the family's 1533-position model. Lineage: Bacteria; Pseudomonadati; Pseudomonadota; Gammaproteobacteria; Oceanospirillales; Halomonadaceae. The record is from RNAcentral.
CCUAGGGGAGGCUGCAGUGGGGAAUAUUGGACAAUGGGCGAAAGCCUGAUCCAGCCAUGCCGCGUGUGUGAAGAAGGCCUUCGGGUUGUAAAGCACUUUCAGUGGGGAAGAAAGCCUUGGGGCUAAUACCCUCGAGGAAGGACAUCACCCACAGAAGAAGCACCGGCUAACUCCGUGCCAGCAGCCGCGGUAAUACGGAGGGUGCGAGCGUUAAUCGGAAUUACUGGGCGUAAAGCGCGCGUAGGCGGUCUGAUAAGCCGGUUGUGAAAGCCCCGGGCUCAACCUGGGAACGGCAUCCGGAACUGUCAGGCUAGAGGGCAGGAGAGGAAGGUAGAAUUCCCGGUGUAGCGGUGAAAUGCGUAGAGAGCGGGAGGAAUACCAGUGGCGAAGGCGGCCUUCUGGACUGACACUGACGCUGAGGUGCGAAAGCGUGGGUAGCAAACAGGAUUAGAUACCCUUGUAGUC